RNAcentral lists this transfer RNA (62 nucleotides) under Olidiana ritcheriina. RNAcentral describes it as "tRNA-Ile". Lineage: Eukaryota; Metazoa; Arthropoda; Insecta; Hemiptera; Cicadellidae. The record is from RNAcentral.
AAUUAGGUGCCUGAUUAAAGGAUUAUUUUGAUAGAAUAAAAAAUGUAAAAUUACUCUAAUUA